This 497-nucleotide ribosomal RNA is filed under the name uncultured bacterium. RNAcentral's name for it is "partial 16S ribosomal RNA". It matches the Rfam family "Bacterial small subunit ribosomal RNA", at positions 28 to 507 of the family's 1533-position model. The record is from RNAcentral.
GAUGAACGCUGGCGGCGUGCCUAAUACAUGCAAGUCGAGCGAACAGAUGAGGAGCUUGCUCCUCUGACGUUAGCGGCGGACGGGUGAGUAACACGUGGAUAACCUACCUAUAAGACUGGGAUAACUUCGGGAAACCGGAGCUAAUACCGGAUAAUAUAUUGAACCGCAUUGUUCAAUAGUGAAAGACGGUUUUGCUGUCACUUAUAGAUGGAUCCGCGCAGCAUUAGCUAGUUGGUAAGGUAACGGCUUACCAAGGCAACGAUGCGUAGCCGACCUGAGAGGGUGAUCGGCCACACUGGAACUGAGACACGGUACAGACUCAUACGGGAGGCAGCAGUAGGGAAUCGUCCGCAAUGGGCGAAAGCCUGACGGAGCAACGCCGAGUGAGUGAUGAAGGUCUUCGGAUCGUAAAACUCUGUUAUUAGGGAAGAACAAAUGUGUAAGUAACUAUGCGCGUCUUGACGGUAACUAAUCAGAAAGCCACGGCUAACUACGGG